UUCUGAUUUUUUUUUUUUUGCUUUUCUUGAACCCCCCAAAAUAGACAUUUUUCUUCCGCGCGAACGAUCCCUGAUCACUGCAUUUGGACCCUGACAACUUCAUGUCAAACUUGCUGCCAAACAAUGAACCCCGUUCUCCAUUUUCCCAUGCUAAUUCCGUUGGCAAUGCCGGAAAUAACACCAACCACCACUCUGAUGGCGACAUAUCAGAGGGUACACGACCAGACAUUUACCGAUGACUGGGAAGGAACUCGACGUUGCUAAUUCCGUUGGCAAUGCCGGAAAUAACACCAACCACCACUCUGAUGGCGACAUAUCAGAGGGUACACGACCAGACAUUUACCGAUGACUGGGAAGGAACU
Molecule: long non-coding RNA, 362 nt
Filed under: Lathyrus oleraceus (garden pea)
Lineage: Eukaryota; Viridiplantae; Streptophyta; Magnoliopsida; Fabales; Fabaceae
Description: Pisum sativum (pea) long non-coding RNA (PSAT_LNC031168)
Source: RNAcentral